Burkholderiales bacterium 68-12 is the source of this 340-nucleotide non-coding RNA. The record is from Rfam. NCBI's taxonomy places the organism in Bacteria, Pseudomonadati, Pseudomonadota, Betaproteobacteria, Burkholderiales.
GAAGCACGCCAGACCGCCGCUGGUGCAAUCUGGGAAACCAGGCACUGGAGGAACGUCCGGACUGCACAGGACAGCGUAGCAGCUAACGGCUGCCCACCGCGAGGUGAGGAUCAGAGCAACAGAGACGAGUCCCGGGGGAGUGCCGCAAGGUAGACCACUGGGGGUGAAACGGGCAAUCUCUACGCGCAGCAAUACCAAGUAGGCCAGCGUUGAUGUGGUUCCGCAGAGCUGGCGGGUAGGUAGCACCGAGCCGGGUGGGCGACCCCCGGCCCAGAGUAAUGGCGGUCACGCUGCGGGCAACCGCAGUGCACAGAAUCCGGCUUAUCGGCGCGCUUCACAC